RNAcentral lists this transfer RNA (85 nucleotides) under Faecalibaculum rodentium. RNAcentral's name for it is "tRNA-Leu". Lineage: Bacteria; Bacillati; Bacillota; Erysipelotrichia; Erysipelotrichales; Erysipelotrichaceae. The record is from RNAcentral.
GGGGUCGUGGUGGAAUUGGCAGACACGCUAUCUUCAGGCGGUAGUGAGGCAACUCGUGUGCGUUCGAGUCGCAUCGACCCCACCA